CAACACAGAAUCAUUUGGUGGCAAGAGGACAUAAAACCCACUGGAGCCUCGGGGGCCCUGCGGGCCGAUAUGAGCACAAGUCUCCAGGGAUCCAAGGUGGGCAGUAAGACAGGAUGCCCGAGCUCGGUUCUGAGGCCUAAGGCAGCCCUGGUGAGACGGGAGAACCAGGAAGGGGCCUGCGCUGCCAGCGGGGUGCAGGGGGCAGAGGUGAGGAAGGCUCGAAGGUCGGCAUGUACACUCUCCCACCUCCACUGGCAAGAUGGGAGGAGACUGCUGAUGCAGCAGCUAGAGGAAUAGAAGCCAGCCUGUGAGAUAACCAAGGACAGCAACACCAGGCAAAUCAAGGCCAGAGAGACGGAGCUGAUCUGCCCACGGUCACAAAGUUCCCCAACACAGGAGGGAAACCCAGGUCAUCAGGCGUCCAGGGCGGCGCCCCCCCAACCCUCACAGCUGCAAUGGCGAGGAGCCGUCGGGCGGACUGGAGGAGGGGACAGUGUUCUACACAGACGCAGGGGCAGGACUGGACCUCCUGGACAACGUGGUGAUGAGAUCACCGUGGAGAACACAGGAUUGGAAGAAGGGAAAAAAGAGAUGUGUUACAAACAAUCUCCUCAAACCCUCUCAUCCUAACUCCUUGAAGAGAAAGGAAGUCAAGGGGCCGCCAGAAGAUGUGGCCCCACUGCUGGUACAGGAGUUUGCGAAGCUGGAUGGAGAAGAGGACAGAGAUGCAACAUCUAUACCCACCCUCCACUAUUCCAAGGACCACAGAUCCACACUCACCCUCAGGGAUGGAGCCGUCCACCCUGCCCCCAAGACCAGAAGACAACAAACAUCGCCAAAGAUUAGGAGGGCAGAUGCCCACCUUCUAAUCAAAGGUCUGAAGUUGAGAAAGGGUUAGAAAUGAAGCUACUGAGGAAAAGAA
Odocoileus virginianus texanus is the source of this 922-nucleotide non-coding RNA. The record is from RefSeq and is a predicted model, not a curated record. Lineage: Eukaryota; Metazoa; Chordata; Mammalia; Artiodactyla; Cervidae.